RNAcentral lists this transfer RNA (72 nucleotides) under Phrynosoma platyrhinos (Desert horned lizard). RNAcentral's name for it is "tRNA-OTHER". Lineage: Eukaryota; Metazoa; Chordata; Lepidosauria; Squamata; Phrynosomatidae. The record is from RNAcentral.
GCCAAUGUGGUAUAAUGGUUUGAGUGUUGGACUAUGACUCUGGAGACCAGGUUUCGAAUCCCCACUUGGCCA